RNAcentral lists this ribosomal RNA (516 nucleotides) under uncultured bacterium. RNAcentral describes it as "bacterial SSU rRNA". It matches the Rfam family "Bacterial small subunit ribosomal RNA", at positions 229 to 748 of the family's 1533-position model. The record is from RNAcentral.
GCCUGCGUCCGAUUAUUUAUUCCUAGUUGGUGAGGUAAUGGCUCACCAAGGAUACGAUCGGUAGCUGGUCUGAGAGGAUGAUCAGCCACACUGGAACUGAGACACGGUCCAGACUCCUACGGGAGGCAGCAGUGGGGAAUAUUGCGCAAUGGGCGAAAGCCUGACGCAGCCACGCCGCGUGAGUGAUGAAGGCCUUCGGGUUGUAAAGCUCUGUCGGGAGGGAAGAAGGGGAAACCCUGACGGUACCUCGCAAGAAAGCACCGGCUAACUCUGUGCCAGCAGCCGCGGUAAUACAGAGGGUGCAAGCGUUGCUCGGAUUUACUGGGCGUAAAGCGUACGCAGACGGUUUGGUAGGUCGGGUGUGAAAGCCCAGGGCUCAACCCUGGAAAUGCACUCGAAACCACCUCACUUGAGUAUAGGAGAGGAAAGCGGAAUUCCUGGUGUAGAGGUGAAAUUCGUAGAUAUCAGGAGGAACACCGGUGGCGAAGGCGGCUUUCUGGCCUAUUACUGACGUUC